UUUAUGUUGGCCAAAAUUGAAUGACUGUUGUGUGACAGAAAAAUAACUUUUGUGCGAUAAAUUUUGAGAUUAACUUAUAUGCAGUGAUAGUACAAUAUUUUCUUUAUACUAUCAGGUAACUUUACUUGAAAUAGCAGGUUACCCACUAUUUUUAGUUAUAUUUACAGUUUUUUUCUUUUUCAUUUUUGAACUCCCCCUGCUUCCUCCACA
RNAcentral lists this long non-coding RNA (210 nucleotides) under Capsicum annuum. RNAcentral describes it as "long non-coding RNA (CANN_LNC011106)". Lineage: Eukaryota; Viridiplantae; Streptophyta; Magnoliopsida; Solanales; Solanaceae. The record is from RNAcentral.